GCAGCUGUAGCUCAGCAUCAGAGCACUGGUCUUGUAAACCAGUGGCCGGAGGUUAAAAUCCUCCCUGCUGCU
Molecule: transfer RNA, 72 nt
Filed under: Amblyotrypauchen arctocephalus
Lineage: Eukaryota; Metazoa; Chordata; Actinopteri; Gobiiformes; Gobiidae
Description: tRNA-Thr
Rfam family: tRNA
About the family: Transfer RNA (tRNA) molecules are approximately 80 nucleotides in length. Their secondary structure includes four short double-helical elements and three loops (D, anti-codon, and T loops).
Source: RNAcentral